UGUGACCAUGCCUCUAAAAGCUUCAGU
RNAcentral lists this non-coding RNA (27 nucleotides) under Homo sapiens (human). The record is from RNAcentral. Lineage: Eukaryota; Metazoa; Chordata; Mammalia; Primates; Hominidae.